GGCCUGCUAGCUCAGUCGGUUAGAGCGUCGUGCUAAUAACGCAAAGGUCGUAGGUUCGAUCCCUGCGCAAGCCA
This 74-nucleotide transfer RNA is filed under the name Dermacentor andersoni. RNAcentral's name for it is "transfer RNA isoleucine (anticodon AAU)". It matches the Rfam family "tRNA". From Rfam's summary of the family: Transfer RNA (tRNA) molecules are approximately 80 nucleotides in length. Their secondary structure includes four short double-helical elements and three loops (D, anti-codon, and T loops). Further hydrogen bonds mediate the characteristic L-shaped molecular structure. tRNAs have two regions of fundamental functional importance: the anti-codon, which is responsible for specific mRNA codon recognition, and the 3' end, to which the tRNAs corresponding amino acid is attached (by aminoacyl-tRNA synthetases). tRNAs cope with the degeneracy of the genetic code in two manners: having more than one tRNA (with a specific anti-codon) for a particular amino acid; and 'wobble' base-pairing, i.e. permitting non-standard base-pairing at the 3rd anti-codon position. Lineage: Eukaryota; Metazoa; Arthropoda; Arachnida; Ixodida; Ixodidae. The record is from RNAcentral.